UCUUUAAGAAAUUUUUUAAAGUAAUACCUGCUCAAUGUAAAAUAAAUAGCCGCAGUAUCCUGUGCUAAGGUAGCAUAAUCAUUAGCUUUCUAAUUAAAAGAUAGAAUGAAUGGUAAUAUGCAAUAUGAUUUUUUUAAAAAAACAAAAUAAAUUUAAAAAAGAAGUAAAAAUUCUUCUAAAUUAAGAAAGACGAUAAGACCCUGACAAACUUAACAUUUUGCUGGGGCGGCAAUAAACAAAAAACCUUUUAUUCUUUAGGGCUAAAAAUCUAUUAUUAAUAAUAAUAAGUUACUGCAGGGAUAACAGCGCAAUUUUUUUCUAAAGUUCAAAUUAAAAAAAAAGUUUACGACCUCGAUGUUGAAUUAAUUUUCCUUUUUGCAGAGCAAAUUCUACAAUAGAUAGUCUGUUCGACUAUUAAACAAUU
This 424-nucleotide ribosomal RNA is filed under the name Carapoia brescoviti. RNAcentral's name for it is "partial 16S ribosomal RNA". Lineage: Eukaryota; Metazoa; Arthropoda; Arachnida; Araneae; Pholcidae. The record is from RNAcentral.